This 69-nucleotide transfer RNA is filed under the name Tactostoma macropus (longfin dragonfish). Its description in RNAcentral is "tRNA-Glu". It matches the Rfam family "tRNA". From Rfam's summary of the family: Transfer RNA (tRNA) molecules are approximately 80 nucleotides in length. Their secondary structure includes four short double-helical elements and three loops (D, anti-codon, and T loops). The record is from RNAcentral. Lineage: Eukaryota; Metazoa; Chordata; Actinopteri; Stomiiformes; Stomiidae.
GUUCUUGUAGUUGAGUUACAACGCUGGUUUUUCAAGUCGGCGGCCCCGGUUAAAGUCCGGGCAGGAAUU